AUAACUUCGGGAAACCGGAGCUAAUACCGGAUAACUUCGAGCACCUCCUGGUGCUUGGAUAAAAGACGGCGUCUAGCUGUCACUUACAGAUGGGCCCGCGGCGCAUUAGCUAGUUGGUGAGGUAACGGCUCACCAAGGCGACGAUGCGUAGCCGACCUGAGAGGGUGAUCGGCCACACUGGGACUGAGACACGGCCCAGACUCCUACGGGAGGCAGCAGUAGGGAAUCUUCCGCAAUGGACGAAAGUCUGACGGAGCAACGCCGCGUGAGCGAUGAAGGCCUUCGGGUCGUAAAGCUCUGUUGUUAGGGAAGAACAAGUACCAGAGUAACUGCUGGUACUUUGACGGUACCUAACCAGAAAGCCACGGCU
RNAcentral lists this ribosomal RNA (370 nucleotides) under bacterium gwi56. RNAcentral describes it as "bacterial SSU rRNA". It matches the Rfam family "Bacterial small subunit ribosomal RNA", at positions 143 to 498 of the family's 1533-position model. The record is from RNAcentral.